ACCCGCUGAACUUAAGCAUAUCAAUAAGCGGAGGAAAAGAAACCAACAGGGAUUGCCCUAGUAACGGCGAGUGAAGCGGCAAUAGCUCAAAUUUGAAAGCUGGCCUUUGGUCCGCAUUGUAAUUUGUAGAGGAUGCUUUUAGGCAGCCGCCGGUCUAAGUUCCUUGGAACAGGACGUCAUAGAGGGUGAGAAUCCCGUAUGUGACCGGCUCAGGCACCUUCUGUAAAGCUCCUUCGACGAGUCGAGUUGUUUGGGAAUGCAGCUCUAAAUGGGAGGUAAAUUUCUUCUAAAGCUAAAUACUGGCGAGAGACCGAUAGCGCACAAGUAGAGUGAUCGAAAGAUGAAAAGUACUUUGGAAAGAGAGUUAAAAAGCACGUGAAAUUGUUGAAAGGGAAGCGCUUGCAAUCAGACUUGGCCUCGGUUGUUCAACCGGUCUUUUGACCGGCCUAUUCAAUCGGGGGCAGGCCAGCAUCAGUUUCGGCGGCCGGAUAAAGGCCUUGGGAAUGUGGCCUCUCCUUCGGGGGAGGUGUUAUAGCCCAGGGUGUAAUACGGCCAGCUGGGACUGAGGUCCGCGCUUCGGCUAGGAUGCUGGCGUAAUGGUUGUAAGCGGCCCGUCUUGAAACACGG
Molecule: ribosomal RNA, 627 nt
Filed under: uncultured fungus
Lineage: Eukaryota; Fungi
Description: LSU rRNA
Rfam family: Eukaryotic large subunit ribosomal RNA
Source: RNAcentral